This 1510-nucleotide long non-coding RNA is filed under the name Pogona vitticeps (central bearded dragon). RNAcentral's name for it is "lncRNA (ENSPVIG00000006182.1)". Lineage: Eukaryota; Metazoa; Chordata; Lepidosauria; Squamata; Agamidae. The record is from RNAcentral.
ACGGAUUAGUGUUGAUGCCAAGGGAAUAAUUCCAUCUCCAGAAAUACCCCUAUGAUUUCAGACUUUCCUCUUCUCUUUUCUUUUCUCUUCCCCCGCCUUCUCCGUUUUGCUUUAUUCUGGGCACUCGCCGAUCCAAAGGGCAAAAAAGUAUUUUUCUGGACUGGGCGAAGCUCCGAGGCAGCAAAGCAAAACUUUCCAUGAAUUCCUGUUGAUCCUGGAGUCGCGCUUUUACACAGCGGGAUGGAUUCAGGACAAAUAUAGGAUGCUGGCCGGGCCUUGCGGCUUUCCACAGAUAGCUGCUCGUGCCCCAGCCAAAGCAAACGGUACGGAUAUGAAAACCAACACCGAACUAGACGGGAAGAUAAUGCAAAAUGCUGCAAGAACAGUUGUGGCAUAACCCCAUGGACUCAGCACUGAGUGUCUGCAGGAGUGGUUCCCAGAUGUGGCAAAGCUGCCUUGUGUUGUUGGGUUUUUUUUUUCCUUUUCACCCUGGACUCCGCACAUGAGGGAGGUCUGUUGGACAAGGCAGGUGUUCUGGCCCUGCCAGAAGGCUUAAACCUUUGAAAAGGUCACAGCUUUUCUGUCAACCACCUUCCCCGCCUCUGCUAUAUCAAAAGAGAUCCAGGAAGGGCGGCAGCAUCUUUUCCAAAACACUAACGAGAGAAUCACUGCCUCCUCUGGAGAUGUUUUCCAAAAGAGCAGACUCCCCAAAUCCCAACGUUGCGUCUUGUGAGGUAUCCGAUAGAAAGCAAAAGCAGGAUUUUCCAUCCAUAAAGACAUCAACACCUUCUUCUGCCAGAAUGCCGACCUUCUCCACGCAGGAAUGUGGGACGAGGCCGGCGAGUCAUGGAAGACUCCACCAACCACGAUGGAAGAAAGCGGUCAUGGUGUUUUAUUCAGGCUUAUCAAGGGACCAGGGGAGGCGAGCCAGACUGGAAAACAAUGGCUGGUUCAGUCAUCAGCAACAAUGGAAAGCCGGGUGGGGUGACUUGGGGCUUGCCAGAGGCAGCUGGAGGGCCCCUCCCAGCAUUCUUCACCUUCGGCAACAUCCACCAACAGACCAGGCUAGUGACACUAUGUUGCUGCUGCGGCUGCUGCGGCUGCUACUUCGGUCUUCCGUGCCUUGGUAGCAAUAGACUCUGGACUCACUUGCAGACAAUGAACACCUUGUGUUAUCCUGGACACAAAACUGAGGCUCUUUGGAUUUUUGAGAGACAUUUCCAAAGGCGAAACUCAAUUUGAGAUGGAGAAAAUAGAUGCUCUUUUACUUGACCUCUGCAGAUACAAGAUCACUCUGGUUAAAUGUUGUAUAGUCAUUUAAUCAUAUUUGCCAGAAAUAGCGUUAAUCUCACCGGUGUAGCCGAGUGGCUGGAAGACUGAGGUACCGCUGAGAUUCUGAGAUUCCAUAGCGAACUCUUUUAUCCUUGGGAAACUUUUGGGAGCCUCAGGGUGUGGGAACGGGGCAAGCAUUUCAUGUCAUUAAAUCACUGCUAAAUCACCAGCCGGGUGU